RNAcentral lists this long non-coding RNA (4156 nucleotides) under Papio anubis (olive baboon). RNAcentral describes it as "lncRNA (ENSPANG00000041542.1)". Lineage: Eukaryota; Metazoa; Chordata; Mammalia; Primates; Cercopithecidae. The record is from RNAcentral.
AUGAGCGUCCUCAUCUCCCACAGGCACCGAGAGGUUUGGCUCUGUGGUUUUUGUGCAGGAAGAAUUCCCCAGCCUUCUCUUUUGUUUUUCCCCCUUACUAAUAUUAUUUUUCAGCUGUUUACCCCCACGAAUGAAAAAAAAGUAUUUUUCUUCAUUACUGCGCCUGCUACCAAAGUGACUCAUUUACAGAUUCAUUUUGGCAGAGGCUGCAGCAUCUGUUAUAAUUUUUACCUGGUCCCCAAGGGCAAAGCUUCUUACCUUGCUGGCUUCAAAGUACUGUUGCCACUUAUGUGUCAUCCCUGCUCUCAAAGCUUCAUUGUCAGCAAUCCAGAAAACAAGCCCCGAGUCCGUGUCUCCUGUAACCUCAGUGAAUACGUUGCCGAAAGCUCUGUCUGGUGUGGAUACAGCAUGAGGAAAGAGAACCGGCGUACACCCUGCAGUUCUCAGCGACGAAAUUCCCGCUACGUUGUGCCUUGAAGUCACCUGCAGGGCUCCGCGUUCCCUCUAGGGUGGGCGGGAGUCGGAGCGCGCGGCGCGCAGUGCGCGGAUGGACGCCAGGGGGCGCUAGUGCGGCGCGGCGCGGGCGAAGGGGCGGGGACGAGCCCAGGGCGCCACUCAGUCCCCGCGCGGGAAGCCUUGGGGCGCGCUGCCGGGCGGCGUGGGCCGCGGUGGCAUCCGACUGCGGGGUGACCGCGCCUCCCGGUCCGGGGACUCAGCAGCCACCGCGGCCCCUGGAUUGCCCUGGUGGGACAGGUGCGUGGGAGAAGGAGGCUGAAAGCGCCCUCCCACUAAAGACACACGGGCGCAGGGGAGCCCUGGGAGGGCCACGGGACAGCCCCAGAAAGGUCCCAGGAGGGACUCGGAAGAGCCCCAGGAAGACCCCCAGAAAAGCCCCCAGGAAGGUCCCAGGACAGCCACCAGGAAGGUCUGGGGAGAGCCCCGAGAAGGUCCCGGGAGAGCCCCAGGAACGUUUGGGGAGAGCCCCAGGACAGCCCCAGGAAGGUACCAGGAGAACCCCAGGGAGGUCCCGAGAGAGCCCCAGGAGGGCCCCAGGAAGGCCCCGGGAGAGCCCCAGAAAAGGGAAAGCACGGAGCCAGCACGAGGCCCGCAGCAACAGGAGCGGCGUCAAGGGGAGGGUGCUUGCACCGCGGCCGCCGCAGGGCCCACAGUGUACGGUGUGGGUUUUUCCGUUUGGUUUUUGUUCUUGUUUUUGUUUGUUUGUUUGUUUGUUUGUUUGUUGAGACAGUGUCUCGAUCUGUCGCCCAAGCUGGAGUGCAGUGGUGCGAUCUUGGCGUACUGCAACCUCCGCCUCCCAAGUUCAAGCGAUUCUCCUGCCUCAGCCUCCUGAGUAGCUUGGACUACAGGCAUCCGCCACCACACCCAGCUGUUUUUUGUGUUUUUAGUAAAGACAGGGUUUCACCAUGUUGACCAGGAUGGUCUCAAUCUCUUGACCUCGUGAUCCACCUGCCUCGACCUCCCAAAGUGCUGGGAUUAUAGGCAUGAGCCACCGCGCCUGGCCUAGGAUGUGGUUUUCUGAGGCACGAUGCCCAGGUAAUGUCCCCAGGUCACCAGAGGUGCAUUUCUGCCAUUGGUGAGGUGGGAGAAAGGCCCUGCGCCUCACAGUGGCAGAUCUUUCUGGAAUGCAAGCUGAGGGCGUCGAAGUGCCUGCUGUGUGUGGGGCAGAGACAGAUGACCAGCCUUGGCCUGCCUUUGAAUCCCUGUCUUUGGCUCCAGGGGCCACUGGCAGCAUCUGGAGCUGAUUUGGUUGGAGGAGGGGCUGCCACAGGCAUCUAAAUGGGCAGAGGCCAAGGAUGCAGGCAGGCCUGUGGCCAUGCACAGGAUUGCCCCACAGAGAGGUCCCUAGCCCUGCACAGGACAGCCCCACAGAGAGGUCCCCGGCCAUGCACAGGAUCACCCCACAGAGAGGCCCCCAGCCCUGCACAGGACAGCUCCACACAGUUAUCCUGUCCAAAUGCCACUGGGGCGAGGCUGAAUAUCCCAGUCAAGAGAGACAAAGACAGGCAUCCAGGGAAAUGCUCUGAUGGGUUCCCAGGGGCAUGGGGACAGGGUGCGGAGCCACUCAGCUGUGCAGUAUAGACGUCCCCCCGGUGGUGUGGGCAUUGGCCCUGCUCCCUGGGCCCCAGGACAGUUACUUGCAGAUUUCUUCUUGCAUUUGGACUCUAUUUACCAUCACUCCAUGGAUAUUAACUGGGUGCCUACACUGCAAGCUCAGAUCGCACAAGGGAGACCAGGUCCCCUUCCAUCUGUUAGGACCGCAGUGGAGAGAGCUGCAGUUGGCCCCUCAGGCUUGGAUUACACCAGGUGAAACCCCAGUAGUUGCUGUGAUCUGGCUGCGUGAAGCGCAUGUUCUAAAUGGGUUAAGCAGGACGGAUCCUACACAGAGUUAUUGGUGUUCAAAGAUGAGUUAAACAGAAGAAACCAUUAGGGUUACUAAAGUAGAAAUAAUUAAAACAGAACAACAGAAAACUAAGCUCGUGAACUGAAUGCAGAAUCACAAAGUAUUUGGAAAGAGGUGAUGCGUGAUUCAAAGAUCUAUGAACAUACCAGGAAUUUGGAAGUGGGGAGUGAGAAAGACAUAGAGGAAAGUGAAGAUAUUUGAACUACAUUGGGCAGUGGGGGUUGGGGGGCUCUUGCAAAUAAAUAUUAAAGAAGUAGAUGGUAAAGAAUGGUUUAGAAAAAUGUCGAGGUUACUACUUUUACAACUAAAAAUACAGAGAGCUUUCAAAUCAUGAGAGAUGAUACAAACAAAAUAACAGCCCUCCAUAGCUUUCUCCUGCUGCCUCACAAAAUACCACAGACUGGGUGGCUUGAACCACAGACACUCAUUUCUCAGGCUUUGGAGGCCGGAGUCCUGAGGGGUGGGUGCCAGCAUGGCUGGGUUCUCACCAGGCCCCUCUUCCAGGCUCACAAAACGCCACCUUCUUACCCUGCCCUCAGUGGCCUUUCUUGGUGCCAGCAUCGGGGAGAGAGUGAGCGAGCUCUCUGGUGUCCCUUGUUAUAAGAGCACUAAUCUCAUGGGAUCAGGGCCCACCCUUAUGGCCUCAUGUAACCUUUACGGCUGCCUUACUCCACACACAGCCAUACUGGGGUUUGAGGCUCCAGCAUGGGAAUUCUGGGGCCUCACCAACAUUCAGUCCAUAGGAGGCCCUUAGGAUGAAAGGCUGGGCUCGAAGGAAACUGCAUAAAACAAAACAGACAUCUCGGAGCAAGGGAGAUGGGGACCCACAGCCACACAAAGGAGCUGGGGACCCACAGCCACACAAAGGAGCUGGGGGACCCACAGCCAUGUGUUUGUUGUUGUGAUUAAGAGACAAAGAGUUUUUAAAGCGACGUUACACAUAAACAUCAAAACAACAUUGAACUUCCAGGGAAGAGGAUGGAUUAAGUGGGUGAGAGUUUCCAAGAUGGUAGGGGCUGAAUUGUGUCCCCAUAAAUCCAAAGGAUGAAGUCCUAACCCCUAGGACCUCAGAAGGACCUUGUAGGGAGAUGGGGUCUUUACAGAGGUGAUCAAGUUAAGAUGAACUUGUUAGGGUGGGCCCUAGUCCAGUAUGACUGGUGUCCUUAAACAUGGGGGACAUUGGACACAGACACCCACAGGGAGAUCCCUGCAGGAAGGUAAAAAUAGCUGUCUGUAAGCCCUGGGGGAGGCCUCAGAAUGUGGCUGUAUUUGGAGGUAGAGCCAUUCAAGAGGAAAUUAAGGUCAAAUGGGUUCACUGGGGUGAACCCUAAUCCCAUAGGACUGGUGUCCUUAGAAGAAGAGAAGAUGAGGACACGGACACACAGAGGGAUGACCAUGUGAGGACCCAGGGAGAAGGCAUCUGUCUACAAGCCACAGAGAGAGGCCUCAGGAGAAACCAGCCCUGCCCAACCUUGAUCUUGGACUUCCAGCCUCCAGAACUGCGGGGAGACACAUUUGUGAUGUCUGAGCCCCCGACAUGUGGUGCCUAGCUAGGGAGGCUUUGCAAGCUCUUUCACCACAUCAAAACAGGUGUGUCUCAGGCUCUUGUUUUUCACUGUGUCAAAGUGGGUGGGUCUCAGAGUCUUGUUUUGCUGUUUUAUGGAUUUGUUAUGUGUGCUAAUACAUGGAAGAGACCUAAACAUAAUUCUAGGAUGUGAAGAAGCCAGCCAACAAGGG